ACAGAGGGGGCAAGCGUUGUUCGGAAUUACUGGGCGUAAAGGGCGCGUAGGCGGCCUUCUAAGUCGAACGUGAAAUCCCUCAGCUUAACUGGGGAACUGCGUCUGAUACUGGUCGGCUUGAGUGCAGGAGAGGAACGCGGAAUUCCAGGUGUAGCGGUGAAAUGCGUAGAUAUCUGGAGGAACACCGGUGGCGAAGGCGGCGUUCUGGACUGCAACUGACACUGAUGAACGAAAGCCAGGGGAGCAAACGGGA
RNAcentral lists this ribosomal RNA (253 nucleotides) under uncultured prokaryote. RNAcentral's name for it is "partial 16S ribosomal RNA". It matches the Rfam family "Bacterial small subunit ribosomal RNA", at positions 525 to 777 of the family's 1533-position model. The record is from RNAcentral.